GUGUGUGUGGUAUUUUUGAGAUGGAGUCUCCGAGCUAUUUUAACGUCUUAUAUUUUAUAUUCUUAUGGCUCUUUUACAAAAUUGGUGUAAAUAUGCCCCUGUUCUCUAAUACUAAAGGAAAACUAAACAACUGAAUUUACACCCAGUGGCCGUUUGGCUGAAUAUUUCAUAAAUUACAUUUUUCUUCACUUGCCAAAGGAAUAUUCAGGAGCAAUAAGAUAAACAUGGUUUGAAAAGUAUGAUAUUUACUGCAAUUCAUUAGUUCUUGCCAGAGCUGGAGCCAUUUGACAAAGGAGAAAACCAACAAGUAUGCCUCCUGCAUUACUACAGGAAAUGCUGCUGGCCGAUAUUGAGAUCUCCAUGUUGCAGAUAUAUUUGGGAUCAUUUUCCUCUGCAUCUCCUGCGUGCACUAUCUGUCACUAGCGAUAAGAUGCAGGUCAAAACCCUAAACUUCUCUCAAAACUUGCCACGUUGCGUGAAGAGAAUGGAGUAAUCAUCUAGAGCAGAUUUUCAAAGGCUGCAUGGGGUCCUUGUCUCCUUGGAUCUACAGUUGUCCAUUGUGAAGUUGGAGGACAAGUCUCAGAAGUGAAAUCUUACCUGACACCAUGGAGGAGAGAUACCACGCAAGGAAUGAAAAGGGUCGUACCACCUUCCUUUUCUUGUUUCUCCUCCUGGGCCUACCUGGGCUAAUUUGAGAAUGGAAGGAUGAUGGAAUACAAUGUGUGGUGCUAUUGACUUGGUGGGCAAGACCAUUUUGCACUGGGAUGGCAGCCUUAUUGUCUUCUGGCUCUAUUCUUUUCUACUGUUGAAGCUUCUGUACACCACUGUCCAUAAAAAGGGGAUCUUCGCCUGGAGCUAUGUCAUCAGUUAUCUACUAUAUAGGAUCAUUUGUUUGCCAACAAAGCAGACCUACCACUCCACAUACCUACUUUGGACCCCAGCUUCUUAUUUCAGCAAGAUAAGAGAGCUUGAAGAACCCUGCCCCAGGUAUUCAGAGGACCGAAUCCCAUCAGGUGGCACUUUAUGUUCACUGGCCAUUGAUAAUAAAAUGUGUCUUUUAUUUUUCUUUUUGGACAAAAGACUUGCUAAUUGCCUCAUUUUCAGACUGCUCUUUGGAUCAGACUAUGAAUAAGCUGAUCAACAAAGACAUUUUCAAACCAGAAUUCAUAAAGUGAGGUGUGUGACCUUCUUACAGAAGAAAGUAUUACAGUUUUUCUGGAUCAAAUGUCCUUGUCAUUUGAAUAAAAGAGCAUCUUCUUUUCUGCCCACCCGGACAAACGGAAUUGAGUUGAAUCAAUCCCCUUUUGAUCUUGACAUUUUCAAAGUCAUGAAUUAAGCAUUUUGCUGGGGCAGAACCAAAUUUUUACUCUCUACACUUGACCUGUGAAAGGUCAGAAGAUAACAUGCCAGCAUUGAAAUCACAUUUAAAAAUUACUUAUUACUAUUUGCAUUUCCUAUUAUGGUGUUAGCAAUUGGGAUGGAAAGAAGUGAUAUGGAUUUAUAGAAUUAAUCAGAACUUUCUUAAGGAUAGUUCAGCAAAAUUAAAACUUAAUACUUUUCAAAGGAUCUUAUUUCCCAUGCUGAACAUCUGUAUAUUUUAAACAAAAAUAUAAGGAAGGUAGGUAUUAAAGUAUAUACCUUAUGUAAGAGUAAGUACAAUUAUUAAUAUUUGAAUUUAUAAAAUUAUAUUACAGGCAAACUUUAAGUGUAUGUAAUUCAGCCAAGGCAUUAUGCUUCAUUCUGGUCAAAAGCCCGGGGGGAAUUCAGAGCAAGUGUUAUUUCACCCAAGGAUACAAAUAUUUGAAGACUUGUUUUAGUUAUAAAUAUAGGGUAAGGUUAUUACUGGAAGCAAUAGGCAUAUAGGACUGAAAAAAAAAGUUUAUCUUGUUCCUAGUCUUGAAAUGAUUUUUAAUUUACAUUUUAGAAGACAACCCUUUCCUCUCUAACGAUACCAAAUGCUAUUUGUGUAGUAAAAAAAGAUAAUAAUAAAACUUCUUAACUUGUAAAAUUGAAAAGAAGUCGGCCUUAUUUUGCUUAUCCAUAGAAGAUACUAAAGUUCAUCAAACUUAAAAAAAAAAAAAUAGUAUAGUACCCAAAGCAUUGUUAAAAAAAAGAUGAAAGGAAUGAAGGGAUGUCUGAAGUCAAUGACCCAAAACCAUAGACUGAGUUUGUGGAUGUAGUGUGGCUUCUCUAUUUUACCUCUAAUUCUGGGUUCUUCCUACUCCCACAUCCAAAGCUGCCUGGAGCAGUCUUCCAUUCUCUCAGUAUUUGUCCAAGUAGACACUGUUUCUGGAAAGAGUUUCCCACAUGGUUAAGAACAGUUAACUGGCAGUGAGUUUGCAUAAUUUACGAUAAUAGGGUGAUACAAACCAAGCUUUUGUGUCUGAGAUGGUUUUAUAAUUCAGUAGAAAGUCCACAUUAUUUCUUUAGUGUCUCAUCGUAAACAAGGAGUUCUUUCCCCCCAUUCUCUGAUUCUCUGUCUACCUCUCUCUCUACUUUUUUGUUGUUGUUAGCAAAUAGAAGUGAUUGGGUUUGAUCCACAGAGAAUUUUGUCCAAUCCAAUUUAUCCAAAAUUAGAGACCAUUUGAGAACACUUGUGCUAGAAUGUAGCAAGUUAAACUACUUCUUAAAAGUACUAUAUGCAAUUACUGGUCGUUUAGGAAUUAAUGAGUUCUAUGCCGGUUAAACAUCAGUUUUCCAGAAGGUCUUAGUUUUACUUCUGCUUUUGUAAUUGCAUGCCAGAAAGUUGGCAUGAGGGUGCAAACAUCUGUAUUACAGCCUUCCCGUUCUGUGCUAGUUGGAGAAUUUAGUAGGAAAAACUCUCCACUUUGCUUUGGAGCCUGAUUCUGCCACGUUGAUGUAUAAGUUUUCACUUUCCGUAUGUCUGGGAGGGAUGUAAUUAAAUUGCUUCUUGAAAUAAAACAAUGGCAGAAAAGAAAAGUCAGAUAUUGAGUCCUUGCUACAAAACAGGCAAUUUAAUAUGUGUAAUAAAUUUGCAAAAUGAAGUCACGUUCAGAUAUUGCAGGGUAAAAGUAUUUUUAUAUUGUACAUAUGCAAAGAAACCCCAAGAUUUGGGCUUAUUUAUCAGGAAGAUUACUUUGAAUUUUGGAAUAUUCUUUGAAAAACCAUACCAGUCGCCAACCUGUCUUAAACUCAAAUACACAUAUCUUAAAUUAGUAAAUAAUAAUCUGUUAUUACAUGGAUAAUGUGCAAAUGGAUGAUUCAAGUUCUUAAAAUAUUUUAUUUUAAUAAAUAAAACAUGACCAUUAUGAACAAUUUUUACACUAUAAUUUUCAAAGUAAAUAAUUUUCUGAAAGAAAUAGAUAAGUAAAAGCAAAUUCUAAUUCAGUCCGUCUCUGCCUAAAUUAUUGCUGUUGUUGUUGUUGUUAGGUGCUGUUGAACUGAUUCC
Molecule: long non-coding RNA, 3409 nt
Organism: Trichechus manatus latirostris (Florida manatee)
Lineage: Eukaryota; Metazoa; Chordata; Mammalia; Sirenia; Trichechidae
Exons: 6
Source: RefSeq, a predicted model, not a curated record